GGGUCGAAGCUGUUUCUCCUUCUUUGCACUUUCCGACGUGUUACCGACAUGUUUCCAUCGCCAAAGAAAUUAAAAAUAAAAAUAGUUAACGGUGUUAAACGGCCGUUAAGACGAAGGGGCUAAUUACUCGAAAUUAAGGACUUCGAGGGUUUAGUUGGACCAACUUCGACUAUAGGAAUCUAUAGUCGAUAUGGACCUCUAUGUUAGGGACUUAUUUGAUACUUAACCCUAUUUUUAUAUAUUCACAACAUGAAAGUCACAAAAGGGGAGAUCAACGCACAUCUUCAAGCUUAUUGCAGAAUGUCACCAUUUCACACCUGCUCACCUUCUCAUCCCUCAAUUUGUGGGUUUAUACCCACGCUUUCCCUCAAAAGCGAAAUUGCAGCCACCACUAUUUUCACAGAGUUCUGGCAGGGCUAAAAUCAGAUCAUGAAUCCUAAAUCGUCAAAUCAGACCGUGAAUCCUGCUAGUAGCAAUUAACACAGACCUUGUUGUUGGAUUGCGAUUGGAGCUCUCAGAGCCGUCGUGACGCCGCCAUACAAGGUCGGAUCGGUCCUGGAUUGGCUACAUCGUCGUCACCUCUGACGCUCUCUAUCGCCGCGAGAUUUACAUCGUCUGGUGCGGCACCUCCUGCCGCCGCGCAGCUAUAGCCGGAUGAGAGAAAGAAANAUGGGAGGGAGAGAGAGUGGAAAGAGAGAGAAAGAGAGCGCUAGAGAGAAAGAGAGAGAGAGCUUUCUGUAGAG
RNAcentral lists this long non-coding RNA (743 nucleotides) under Salvia miltiorrhiza (redroot sage). RNAcentral's name for it is "long non-coding RNA (SMIL_LNC014444)". The record is from RNAcentral. Lineage: Eukaryota; Viridiplantae; Streptophyta; Magnoliopsida; Lamiales; Lamiaceae.